Molecule: ribosomal RNA, 3031 nt
Filed under: Listeria monocytogenes
Lineage: Bacteria; Bacillati; Bacillota; Bacilli; Caryophanales; Listeriaceae
Description: 23S ribosomal RNA
Rfam family: Bacterial large subunit ribosomal RNA
Source: RNAcentral
GGUUAAGUUAGAAAGGGCGCACGGUGGAUGCCUUGGCACUAGGAGCCGAAGAAGGACGGGACUAACACCGAUAUGCUUUGGGGAGCUGUACGUAAGCGUUGAUCCAGAGAUUUCCGAAUGGGGGAACCCACUAUCUUUAGUCGGAUAGUAUCCUUACGUGAAUACAUAGCGUGAGGAAGGCAGACCCAGGGAACUGAAACAUCUAAGUACCUGGAGGAAGAGAAAGAAAAAUCGAUUUCCUGAGUAGCGGCGAGCGAAACGGAAAGAGCCCAAACCAAGAAGCUUGCUUCUUGGGGUUGUAGGACACUCUAUACGGAGUUACAAAAGAAAGUUAUAAAUGAAGCGGUCUGGAAAGGCCCGCCAAAGACGGUAACAGCCCGGUAGUUGAAAUGGCUUUCCCUCCAGAGUGGAUCCUGAGUACGGCGGAACACGUGAAAUUCCGUCGGAAUCCGGGAGGACCAUCUCCCAAGGCUAAAUACUCCCUAGUGACCGAUAGUGAACCAGUACCGUGAGGGAAAGGUGAAAAGCACCCCGGAAGGGGAGUGAAACAGUUCCUGAAACCGUGUGCCUACAAGUAGUUAGAGCCCGUUAAUGGGUGAUAGCGUGCCUUUUGUAGAAUGAACCGGCGAGUUACGAUUUGUUGCAAGGUUAAGCGGAAAAAGCGGAGCCGUAGCGAAAGCGAGUCUGAAUAGGGCGCAUAAGUAACAGGUCGUAGACCCGAAACCAGGUGAUCUACCCAUGUCCAGGAUGAAGGUAAGGUAAUACUUACUGGAGGUCCGAACCCACGCACGUUGAAAAGUGCGGGGAUGAGGUGUGGGUAGCGGAGAAAUUCCAAUCGAACUUGGAGAUAGCUGGUUCUCUCCGAAAUAGCUUUAGGGCUAGCCUCGAGGUAAAGAGUCAUGGAGGUAGAGCACUGUUUGGACUAGGGGCCCUUCUCGGGUUACCGAAUUCAGAUAAACUCCGAAUGCCAUGUACUUAUACUCGGGAGUCAGACUGCGAGUGAUAAGAUCCGUAGUCGAAAGGGAAACAGCCCAGACCACCAGUUAAGGUCCCCAAAUAUAUGUUAAGUGGAAAAGGAUGUGGGGUUGCUUAGACAACCAGGAUGUUGGCUUAGAAGCAGCCACCAUUGAAAGAGUGCGUAAUAGCUCACUGGUCGAGUGACCCCGCGCCGAAAAUGUACCGGGGCUAAACAUAUUACCGAAACUGUGGAUGAACCUCUUUAGAGGUUCGUGGUAGGAGAGCGUUCUAAGGGCGGUGAAGUCAGACCGGAAGGACUGGUGGAGCGCUUAGAAGUGAGAAUGCCGGUAUGAGUAGCGAAAGAAGGGUGAGAAUCCCUUCCACCGAAUAUCUAAGGUUUCCUGAGGAAGGCUCGUCCGCUCAGGGUUAGUCGGGACCUAAGCCGAGGCCGAUAGGCGUAGGCGAUGGACAACAGGUAGAGAUUCCUGUACCAGUGCUAAUUGUUUAACCGAUGGGGUGACACAGAAGGAUAGGGAAUCGCACGAAUGGAAAUGUGCGUCCAAGCAGUGAGUGUGAGAAGUAGGCAAAUCCGCUUCUCGCNNNNNNNNNNNNNNNNNNNNNNNNNNNNNNNNNNNNNNNNNNNNNNNNNNNNNNNNNNNNNNNNNNNNNNNNNNNNNNNNNNNNNNNNNNNNNNCUCGCGAAGCAUGAGCUGUGAUGGGGAAGGAAAUUAAGUACGGAAGUUCCUGAUUUCACGCUGUCAAGAAAAGCCUCUAGGAAGAGUAGUACUGCCCGUACCGCAAACCGACACAGGUAGAUGAGGAGAGAAUCCUAAGGUGAGCGAGAGAACUCUCGUUAAGGAACUCGGCAAAAUGACCCCGUAACUUCGGGAGAAGGGGUGCUCUAUUAGGGUGCAAGCCCGAGAGAGCCGCAGUGAAUAGGCCCAGGCGACUGUUUAGCAAAAACACAGGUCUCUGCAAAACCGUAAGGUGACGUAUAGGGGCUGACGCCUGCCCGGUGCUGGAAGGUUAAGAGGAGUGCUUAGCUUCGGCGAAGGUACGAAUUGAAGCCCCAGUAAACGGCGGCCGUAACUAUAACGGUCCUAAGGUAGCGAAAUUCCUUGUCGGGUAAGUUCCGACCCGCACGAAAGGCGCAACGAUCUGGGCACUGUCUCAACGAGAGACUCGGUGAAAUUAUAGUACCUGUGAAGAUGCAGGUUACCCGCGACAGGACGGAAAGACCCCGUGGAGCUUUACUGCAACCUGAUAUGGAAUGUUUGUACCGCUUGUACAGGAUAGGUAGGAGCCGAAGAGACGUGUGCGCUAGCAUACGAGGAGGCAAUGGUGGGAUACUACCCUGGCUGUAUGACCAUUCUAACCCGCCACGCUUAGCGCGUGGGGAGACAGUGUCAGGUGGGCAGUUUGACUGGGGCGGUCGCCUCCUAAAGAGUAACGGAGGCGCCCAAAGGUUCCCUCAGAAUGGAUGGAAAUCAUUCGCAGAGUGUAAAGGCACAAGGGAGCUUGACUGCGAGACUGACAAGUCGAGCAGGGACGAAAGUCGGGCUUAGUGAUCCGGUGGUUCCGCAUGGAAGGGCCAUCGCUCAACGGAUAAAAGCUACCCCGGGGAUAACAGGCUUAUCUCCCCCAAGAGUCCACAUCGACGGGGAGGUUUGGCACCUCGAUGUCGGCUCGUCGCAUCCUGGGGCUGUAGUCGGUCCCAAGGGUUGGGCUGUUCGCCCAUUAAAGCGGCACGCGAGCUGGGUUCAGAACGUCGUGAGACAGUUCGGUCCCUAUCCGUCGCGGGCGCAGGAAAUUUGAGAGGAGCUGUCCUUAGUACGAGAGGACCGGGAUGGACACACCGCUGGUGUACCAGUUGUUCCGCCAGGAGCAUCGCUGGGUAGCUAUGUGUGGCAGGGAUAAACGCUGAAAGCAUCUAAGCGUGAAGCCCCCCUCAAGAUGAGAUUUCCCAUUUCUUCGGAAAGUAAGAUCCCUGAAAGAUGAUCAGGUAGAUAGGUUUGGAGUGGAAGUGUAGCGAUACAUGGAGCGGACAAAUACUAAUCGAUCGAGGACUUAACCAA